This 119-nucleotide ribosomal RNA is filed under the name Pteropus alecto (black flying fox). The record is from RNAcentral. Lineage: Eukaryota; Metazoa; Chordata; Mammalia; Chiroptera; Pteropodidae.
GUCUACAGCCAGGCCACCCUGCACAAGUAUGAUCCCGUCUGAUUUCGGAAUCUAAGCAGGGUCGGGCCUGGUUAGUACUUGGAUGGGAGACCACGUAGGAAGACCAGGUGCCAUAGGCA